GGCUUGUUCUUGUGGAGACUAUUGGUAAUUACUAAUUAUCCGCGGGUACUUUUUCUCAGUUCUUCUGCAUUUCCAUAGCAUAUAUAUUAGUGCUAUUGUUUAAGUGAGAGUAAUUUCCAUUACUGAGUCAUUGUGAGGGGCUGUACUUGGCUUUGCUUGUGUAUUCAGUAAGAUUUUCCUAACUUUAUGCAUGGCUCAAGGGAUGAAGAGGUGAGAGUUUUCUAAAGGAAAAGGAAGUGAGGGGAG
RNAcentral lists this unclassified non-coding RNA (246 nucleotides) under Hevea brasiliensis (rubber tree). Lineage: Eukaryota; Viridiplantae; Streptophyta; Magnoliopsida; Malpighiales; Euphorbiaceae. The record is from RNAcentral.